CAGUAGCCGCGGGAAUACGGAGGGUGCAAGCGUUAAUCGGAAUUACUGGGCGUAAAGCGCACGCAGGCGGUUUGUUAAGUCAGAUGUGAAAUCCCCGAGCUUAACUUGGGAACUGCAUUUGAAACUGGCAAGCUAGAGUCUUGUAGAGGGGGGUAGAAUUCCAGGUGUAGCGGUGAAAUGCGUAGAGAUCUGGAGGAAUACCGGUGGCGAAGGCGGCCCCCUGGACAAAGACUGACGCUCAGGUGCGAAAGCGUGGGGAGCAAACAGGAUUAGAGACCCCAGUAGUCCCUGUCUCUUAUAC
RNAcentral lists this ribosomal RNA (301 nucleotides) under uncultured bacterium. Its description in RNAcentral is "partial 16S ribosomal RNA". It matches the Rfam family "Bacterial small subunit ribosomal RNA", at positions 509 to 807 of the family's 1533-position model. The record is from RNAcentral.